UUUCAGAGCUCUCUCUCUCAUUCAGAGACACACACACACACGUAGGGAGCCUUUCUGCUUUGGUGCACAGCUAACAACAGCAGGAUCACAGUGUGAAAGCGUCGCUGAGAUCUGAGGCAGGAAGCGAGAACAGAUGGAGGGAAGCGCACACACGACAAACACACACAACAGCAGACAGUGACGGACAGCGCGGACACGCUGUUUACACUGUAAUAGUGCUCGAUGUCACCCCGAAAUUAAUCCCGGGCGCACACACCAGCACAAGCACGCUGACCCCCUUUCGACAAGCCUCUAGCAUCUCCCUUCUUGUGUGUGUGAGUGUGUGCGUUCACAACGUGAAUACAGCUGCCGUUUGUCGAGAUACGUCCCGCGGCAUCUCCACGUGUGAGCUCGUAGUGCGACAAUAUGCGUCAUGCUAAACAGACCUUAAAGCUGAGCUUACAUGGCAGCCUGGAUGUGUGUGCGUCUAUCGAUCACAGUCGGAGAGAAAGACAAAGGAUAAGGCCCAACAUAAUCAGAAUAAAUGUCCCCCACUGCAGCGGGAAUAAAGGUGUGUGAAAGGGAGAAGGAGGCACGGGCGGAGGAGAAGGUGCGGGCGUGUGCUCUGAAAGGGUGGUGUGAGUGAGAGAUUCUGAUCCCCCCAAAUUGCUGAU
Gasterosteus aculeatus aculeatus (three-spined stickleback) is the source of this 653-nucleotide long non-coding RNA. Lineage: Eukaryota; Metazoa; Chordata; Actinopteri; Perciformes; Gasterosteidae. The record is from Ensembl.